GUAGGUGGCAAGCGUUGUCCGGAAUUAUUGGGCGUAAAGCGCGCGCAGGCGGUCCUUUAAGUCUGAUGUGAAAGCCCACGGCUCAACCGUGGAGGGUCAUUGGAAACUGGGGGACUUGAGUACAGAAGAGGAAAGCGGAAUUCCACGUGUAGCGGUGAAAUGCGUAGAGAUGUGGAGGAACACCAGUGGCGAAGGCGGCUUUCUGGUCUGUAACUGACGCUGAGGCGCGAAAGCGUGGGGAGCAAACAGGGAUUAGAUACCCUGGUAGUCCAGCCGUAAACGAUGAGUGCUAAGUGUUAGGGGGGUUUCCGCCCCCUUAGUGCUGCAGCUAACGCAUUAAGCACUCCGCCUGGGGAUACGGCCGCAAGGCUG
This 372-nucleotide ribosomal RNA is filed under the name uncultured organism. RNAcentral's name for it is "partial 16S ribosomal RNA". It matches the Rfam family "Bacterial small subunit ribosomal RNA", at positions 527 to 896 of the family's 1533-position model. The record is from RNAcentral.